UAUCUGGCCAGAAGCAGCAAGCUCAUUUGUAUGGGUUGCUCAUCCCAAUUGACCACCUCCUGCAGUGCUUCUGGAUCUUCCUCCUGACCUCCAGGAUUAGUUGGCAAGCUCCAGGCAUGGGAGCAAGACUGAGAUGAGCCAAAUUCAGACUGGGAAAGCCUCAUUCAGACACAUACAAAUUCUUCGCCUCCUACAUCAAAUGUGUUGCAACCCACUUCCUCCAGACACUGACUGGGGAAAACUUGGCACCAGGAGCUCACUGCAUAUAAGAGGGUUUUUGCUGUUGUUUUAAGCUGUUGAUUUAUUUCGGGCUCCACAUCAUCUCAGCAUCACCAAACAUCUGAUGAUUUUAUUUCAAUUGCCUGGUUAUGCAUGGCCCGCCUGCUUUUCCACUCACCCAAACCUCCUUCAGUUAUGAAAAAAAUGAAAUGCUGGAUGUUUAUUUUAUCUCUUUUCCCUAGAGAAGGAGUUUAAUAAUUUAGCAGCAGAUAUGAAACUGCUCUAUGAGGAGUAAUUUGUUUUAGGGGGGGGGAAAUAUGAGAUGCUUUUUUCUCUCUCUCUCCCAGAUCCCCAUAUAUAAAGGUAUGGUUUGCUUUGGAUCAUAUUCACUCUCUGAAGACUUGGUUUUGCUAUUAAAAUCUUUAUUUCAUACA
Molecule: long non-coding RNA, 653 nt
Organism: Pezoporus flaviventris
Lineage: Eukaryota; Metazoa; Chordata; Aves; Psittaciformes; Psittacidae
Exons: 2
Source: RefSeq, a predicted model, not a curated record